GGCGGGCGGGCGGUCCCGGCGCUGAGAGCCCGGGCCCCGCGGUCAGAGCGCCAGGGUCUGCGGGACGCGCCCGGGGCGGCCUGGGGCGGGAGGCUUCUCCUCCGCCCUCCUUCCUCCGCACUCCCUGCUCUCUUCCUUCCGUUCCCCGCUUCGUUUCUUCCGCGUGCACCUGGGGAUGCAGGUGCUGCAGGCACCGACUGUCCUUUCUGCCGGGGUGGGGGGGCACACACAAACCCCUCCCCUGCCCGAGGGGCUGCUCCUGGGGCCAGCAGCAGCCGACAACGCCGACGCUAGGAGGGCCGCUGUUCUGCACCCCCUGGAGCCGAAAGCCGAUGGGGUGGGGGGUGCGGGGUGCGCGGUGCCGGCCUCGGGGAAGACGAUGCUGGCCAAGGCUUGAGGAUCACUACUCAGAGGGUGAAUGACUCUUAGGAAUUAUAUAAAGAAAUGGUGCAUACACCUUGAAAAAGCCCAAGAACUCCAAAGGUGUGCUUCAUAAUAUGGGUCCUGCACGCUUCGGGGGUGCGACUCUGCUCAAAGGUGUACUUCACAGUAAAGACACAUUCUCUACUUAA
Long non-coding RNA from Canis lupus familiaris (dog), 572 nucleotides. RefSeq lists it as uncharacterized. Lineage: Eukaryota; Metazoa; Chordata; Mammalia; Carnivora; Canidae. The transcript has 2 exons. The record is from RefSeq and is a predicted model, not a curated record.